This 805-nucleotide ribosomal RNA is filed under the name uncultured bacterium. RNAcentral's name for it is "bacterial SSU rRNA". It matches the Rfam family "Bacterial small subunit ribosomal RNA", at positions 8 to 796 of the family's 1533-position model. The record is from RNAcentral.
AGAGUUUGAUCAUGGCUCAGAAUCAACGCUGGCGGCGUGCCUAACACAUGCAAGUCGAACGCGAAAGUGGAGCAAUCCAUGAGUAGAGUGGCAAACGGGUGAGUAACACGUGGGUGACCUGCCUUCGAGCGGGGGAUAACGUCCCGAAAGGGACGCUAAUACCGCAUAACAUCCUGCUUUUGAAGAAGUGGAGAUCAAAGCUGGCGCAAGCUAGCACUCGAAGAGGGGCCCGCGUCCGAUUAGCUAGUUGGUGAGGUAACGGCUCACCAAGGCAACGAUCGGUAGCCGGCCUGAGAGGGCGGACGGCCACACUGGGACUGAGACACGGCCCAGACUCCUACGGGAGGCAGCAGUGGGGAAUUGUUCGCAAUGGGCGCAAGCCUGACGACGCAACGCCGCGUGGAGGAUGAAGAUCUUCGGGUCGUAAACUCCUUUCGAUCGAGACGAACGACUCCUGGGCUAAUCACCAGGAGAGUGACGGUACCGAGAGAAGAAGCCCCGGCUAACUCCGUGCCAGCAGCCGCGGUAAUACGGGGGGGGGCAAGCGUUGUUCGGAAUUACUGGGCGUAAAGGGGCUCGUAGGCGGCCAACUAAGUCAGACGUGAAAUCCCUCGGCUUAACCGGGGAACUGCGUCUGAUACUGGAUGGCUCGAGUUUGGGAGAGGGAUGCGGAAUUCCAGGUGUAGCGGUGAAAUGCGUAGAUAUCUGGAGGAACACCGGUGGCGAAGGCGGCAUCCUGGACCAACACUGACGCUGAGUGAGCGAAAGCCAGGGGAGCAAACGGGAUUAGAUACCCUAGUAGUCC